Molecule: ribosomal RNA, 439 nt
Filed under: uncultured bacterium
Lineage: Bacteria
Description: bacterial SSU rRNA
Rfam family: Bacterial small subunit ribosomal RNA
Source: RNAcentral
ACGCGUGGAACCUUACCAGGUCUUGACAUCCCACUGACCGCUAUGGAGACAUAGUUUUCCCUUCGGGGACAGUGGUGACAGGUGGUGCAUGGUUGUCGUCAGCUCGUGUCGUGAGAUGUUGGGUUAAGUCCCGCAACGAGCGCAACCCUUGAUCUUAGUUGCCAGCAUUAAGUUGGGCACUCUAAGGUGACUGCCGGUGAUAAACCGGAGGAAGGUGGGGAUGACGUCAAAUCAUCAUGCCCCUUAUGACCUGGGCUACACACGUGCUACAAUGGAUGGUACAAAGGGCAGCAAAGCGGUGACGCCUAGCAAAUCCCAUAAAACCAUUCUCAGUUCGGAUUGUAGGCUGCAACUCGCCUACAUGAAGCUGGAAUCGCUAGUAAUCGCGGAUCAGCAUGCCGCGGUGAAUACGUUCCCGGGCCUUGCACACACCGCCCGU